AUUGAACGCUGGCGGCAUGCCUUACACAUGCAAGUCGAACGGUAACAGGUCUUCGGAUGCUGACGAGUGGCGAACGGGUGAGUAAUACAUCGGAACGUGCCUAGUAGUGGGGGAUAACUACUCGAAAGAGUGGCUAAUACCGCAUGAGAUCUACGGAUGAAAGCAGGGGAUCGCAAUACCUUGUGCUACUAGAGCGGCCGAUGGCAGAUUAGGUAGUUGGUGGGAUAAAAGCUUACCAAGCCGACGAUCUGGAGCUGGUCUGAGAGGGCGAUCAGCCACACUGGGACUGAGCAACGGCCCAGACUCCUACGGGAGGCAGCCGUGGGGAAUUUUGGACAAUGGGCGCCAACGUGAUCCAGCAAUGCCGCGUGCAGGAUGAAGGCCUUCGGGUUGUAAACUGCUUUUGUACGGAACGAAAAGCCCCGGGUUAAUACCCUGGGGUAAUGACGGUACCGUAAGAAUAAGCACCGGCUAACUACGUGCCAGCCGCCGCCGUAA
RNAcentral lists this ribosomal RNA (498 nucleotides) under uncultured bacterium. Its description in RNAcentral is "partial 16S ribosomal RNA". It matches the Rfam family "Bacterial small subunit ribosomal RNA", at positions 30 to 523 of the family's 1533-position model. The record is from RNAcentral.